UUUAAUGUUACUAAAAGUGACGGGCGAUAUGUGCAUGUUCUUUUUCUUUUUCAAUUUUUAAUAAUUUUAAUUUAAUAUUUAUUUCCAGAUCCUAAUUUUAUUUUUUUUCUUUUUCUAUUUUUGUUAAAUUUUUUGUAUUCCAUUUUCUCAAUAUUGUGCUCUUAGUCUUGAUUAGUAUUUUUUCUUUUUUUGAAUUUUACAUAAAAUAUUUUUUUUAUGUAAUUACAAUGAUAUAAAAAAUUAUAAUUAAUGUUCAUUUUAUUGUGGGUUAUCUAUCAUGAUACAGAAUCCUCUGGUAAGCUUAGACCACCGCCAUUUUAUUUAGAUUUUUUUCUUUUUAAAUUUUGUCUUUCUUAGUUUUUAGAA
Molecule: ribosomal RNA, 366 nt
Filed under: Diptilomiopus stephanus
Lineage: Eukaryota; Metazoa; Arthropoda; Arachnida; Trombidiformes; Diptilomiopidae
Also listed under: 1 other name
Description: partial 12S ribosomal RNA
Source: RNAcentral